Molecule: ribosomal RNA, 534 nt
Filed under: Mugil curema (white mullet)
Lineage: Eukaryota; Metazoa; Chordata; Actinopteri; Mugiliformes; Mugilidae
Description: partial 12S ribosomal RNA
Rfam family: Bacterial small subunit ribosomal RNA
Source: RNAcentral
GGCGUAAAGAGUGGUUAAGUGUAUCUUGAUAGAACUAAAGCCGAACGCCCUCAAGACCGUCAUACGUUUCCGAAGGUAUGAAGCCCAACUACGAAAGUAACUUUAACUGUAUCCGACUCCACGAAAGCUGUGAAACAAACUGGGAUUAGAUACCCCACUAUGCCCAGCCCUAAACUUUGAUAAUUUAUCACACUCAUUAUCCGCCUGGGAACUACGAGCUUCAGCUUUAAACCCAAAGGACUUGGCGGUGCUUAAGAUCCACCUAGAGGAGCCUGUUCUAGAACCGAUACCCCCCGUUCAACCUCACCCUCUCUUGUUUAUCCCGCCUAUAUACCGCCGUCGUCAGCCCACCCUGUGAAGGUCCAAUAGUGAGCAGGAUCGGUAGAACCCAAAACGCCAGGUCGAGGUGUAGCGUAUGAGAGGGGAAGAAAUGGGCUACAUUUCCUAACACAAGGAAAUACGAAUGAUGCACUGAAAUAAGCAUAUUUGAAGGAGGAUUUAGCAGUAAAUGAAAAGCAGAGCGUUUCAUUGAAA